Molecule: ribosomal RNA, 462 nt
Filed under: uncultured bacterium
Lineage: Bacteria
Description: bacterial SSU rRNA
Rfam family: Bacterial small subunit ribosomal RNA
Source: RNAcentral
GAUGAACGCUGGCGGCGUGCCUAACACAUUCAAGUCGAACGGUGACGAGGACUUCGGUCCUCUGAUCAGUGGCGGACGGGUGAGUAACGCGUGGGUAACCUGCCGUAUACAGGGGGACAACAGUUGGAAACGACUGCUAAUACCGCAUAAGCGCACAGUACUGCAUGGUACAGUGUGAAAAACUCCGGUGGUAUACGAUGGACCCGCGUCUGAUUAGCUGGUUGGUGAGGUAACGGCCCACCAAGGCGACGAUCAGUAGCCGGCCUGAGAGGGUGAACGGCCACAUUGGGACUGAGACACGGCCCAAACUCCUACGGGAAGCAGCAGUGGGGAAUAUUGCACAAUGGGGGAAACCCUGAUGCAGCGACGCCGCGUGAGUGAAGAAGUAUUUCGGUAUGUAAAGCUCUAUCAGCAGGGAAGAAAAUGACGGUACCUGACUAAGAAGCCCCGGCUAACUACGUG